This 107-nucleotide small nuclear RNA is filed under the name Heterocephalus glaber (naked mole-rat). Lineage: Eukaryota; Metazoa; Chordata; Mammalia; Rodentia; Bathyergidae. The record is from RNAcentral.
GUGCUCAUUUCAGCAGCACAUACACUAAAACUGAAAUAAUACUAAGAAGAUUACCAUGGCCCCUGUGCAAGGAUGACACGCAAAUUUGUGAAGCAUUCUAUAUUUUU